UUAAGUUCAGCGGGUAUCCCUACCUGAUCCGAGGUCAACCAUAGAAGUUGGGGUUAUGGCAAGCCACCACCGGACCCUAGAGCGAGAGAUGUACUACGCUUAGAGCCAGAUGGCGCCGCCACUGAUUUUGAGGCCGGCCGCAACGGGCAUGGCCCAACACCAAGCAGAGCUUGAGGGUUGAAAUGACGCUCGAACAGGCA
This 200-nucleotide unclassified non-coding RNA is filed under the name Oidiodendron sp. Its description in RNAcentral is "partial internal transcribed spacer 2". Lineage: Eukaryota; Fungi; Ascomycota; Leotiomycetes; Myxotrichaceae. The record is from RNAcentral.